Molecule: long non-coding RNA, 390 nt
Filed under: Nicotiana benthamiana
Lineage: Eukaryota; Viridiplantae; Streptophyta; Magnoliopsida; Solanales; Solanaceae
Description: long non-coding RNA (NBEN_LNC007171)
Source: RNAcentral
UCUUCCACUACGCUCUCAUCAGAACCUUCUGAAUUUGUAGAAUUAACAAUUUCUCCAUCGACUCGAACAAAAUCCUCGAACCCGGACGCCGCAAGCCGAUCCGAAUCCAUUUCCGCCGGCGUAAAGCGGCCGGGUACGGCGGAGAAAGUUUUGGAAUUUGAGGCAAUUGAGGAGGACUUGUGGCCGAGAUUUGUGACGGAGAAUGGAACGGCGAGAGAUCUGAUGGUUGAAAAGCGAAGGCGGGAAUCGCCGAUGAAUGAGUAGAAUCAUAAAGCGGCGAGGUAUGGCGGAGAAAGUUUUGGAAUUUGAGGCAAUUGAGGAGAACUUGUGGCCGAGGUUUGUGACGGAGAAUGGAACGGCGAGAGAUUUGAUGGUUGAAAAGCGAAGGCG